Molecule: long non-coding RNA, 351 nt
Organism: Papaver somniferum (opium poppy)
Lineage: Eukaryota; Viridiplantae; Streptophyta; Magnoliopsida; Ranunculales; Papaveraceae
Exons: 2
Source: RefSeq, a predicted model, not a curated record
UAUUCUCUUUCUUCUUCUCCUCCUUCUAUUCUCUUCUGUUUCUGAUGCUUUCGAGAGAUGAAAGUGAGAUUUUAUGUGAGGGAAAUCAAUUAUGUAAGUUCGUUAAAUGAAGAAGGGGAUUAUUGUUUUGUGAAUCUUAAAGGAUAAGAUGGUACUGAUAAAGAAUCGAAAUCAGUUUUCAGUAAUCAGAGGAAAUGGAUGGCACGAAGAUAUUUGUUCCGCAGUUUAGAGCUUUAUCGAAUCUAGUGUUGAUGUGUAUCUUUUAUUACAUAUAAGUAUUCUUUCUUUAUUCUGUAAACAACACAGUAAUAUAUUCUUAACAUUUGAAAGACUUUCAUUUAUAUGAUAUCA